This 1501-nucleotide ribosomal RNA is filed under the name uncultured bacterium. RNAcentral's name for it is "partial 16S ribosomal RNA". It matches the Rfam family "Bacterial small subunit ribosomal RNA". The record is from RNAcentral.
AGAGUUUGAUCAUGGCUCAGAGUGAACGCUGGCGGCAGGCCUAACACAUGCAAGUCGAACGGCAGCACAGGGGAGCUUGCUCCCUGGGUGGCGAGUGGCGGACGGGUGAGGAACACAUCGGAAUCUGCCUAUUUGUGGGGGAUAACCUCGGGAAACCGGGACUAAUACCGCAUACGACCUACGGGUGAAAGCCGGGGACCUUCGGGCCUGGCGCAGAUAGAUGAGCCGAUGUCGGAUUAGCUAGUUGGAGGGGUAAAGGCCCACCAAGGCGACGAUCCGUAGCUGGUCUGAGAGGAUGAUCAGCCACACUGGGACUGAGACACGGCCCAGACUCCUACGGGAGGCAGCAGUGGGGAAUUUUGGACAAUGGGGGAAACCCUGAUCCAGCCAUCCCGCGUGUGCGAUGAAGGCCUUCGGGUUGUAAAGCACUUUUGGCAGGGAAGAAACGGCGCCGGAUAAUACCUGGCGUCACUGACGGUACCUGCAGAAUAAGCACCGGCUAACUACGUGCCAGCAGCCGCGGUAAUACGUAGGGUGCAAGCGUUAAUCGGAAUUACUGGGCGUAAAGCGUGCGCAGGCGGUUUGGAAAGAAAGGUGUGAAAUCCCAGAGCUUAACUUUGGAACUGCACUUUUAACUGCCAAGCUAGAGUAUGUCAGAGGGGGGUAGAAUUCCACGUGUAGCAGUGAAAUGCGUAGAGAUGUGGAGGAAUACCGAUGGCGAAGGCAGCCCCCUGGGAUAAUACUGACGCUCAUGCACGAAAGCGUGGGGAGCAAACAGGAUUAGAUACCCUGGUAGUCCACGCCCUAAACGAUGUCAACUAGCUGUUGGGGCCUUCGGGCCUUAGUAGCGCAGCUAACGCGUGAAGUUGACCGCCUGGGGAGUACGGUCGCAAGAUUAAAACUCAAAGGAAUUGACGGGGACCCGCACAAGCGGUGGAUGAUGUGGAUUAAUUCGAUGCAACGCGAAAAACCUUACCUACCCUUGACAUGUCUGGAAGGCCGAAGAGAUUUGGCUGUGCUCGCAAGAGAACCUGCACACAGGUGCUGCAUGGCUGUCGUCAGCUCGUGUCGUGAGAUGUUGGGUUAAGUCCCGCAACGAGCGCAACCCUUGCCAUUAGUUGCUACGAAAGGGCACUCUAAUGGGACUGCCGGUGACAAACCGGAGGAAGGUGGGGAUGACGUCAAGUCCUCAUGGCCCUUAUAGGUGGGGCUACACACGUCAUACAAUGGCUGGUACAGAGGGUUGCCAACCCGCGAGGGGGAGCUAAUCCCAUAAAGCCAGUCGUAGUCCGGAUCGCAGGCUGCAACUCGCCUGCAUGAAGUCGGAAUCGCUAGUAAUCGCGGAUCAGAAUGUCGCGGUGAAUACGUUCCCGGGUCUUGUACACACCGCCCGUCACACCAUGGGAGUGGGUUUCACCAGAAGUAGGUAGCCUAACCGUAAGGGGGGCGCUUACCACGGUGGGAUUCAUGACUGGGGUGAAGUCGUAACAAGGUAACCGUA